CAGCAUGCUUCCAAGACCUGUAGCUGGUUGUGGCCACGGGCCCUCCAAAUCAUGCUAGAGCAGCCUGGGAAGACGUUGACAGCUCAGGUCGGGAUAACACUUGCAGCUGCCACUCGCCUUUCCUAUAUAU
Molecule: small nucleolar RNA, 130 nt
Organism: Jaculus jaculus (lesser Egyptian jerboa)
Lineage: Eukaryota; Metazoa; Chordata; Mammalia; Rodentia; Dipodidae
Source: Ensembl